CCUACGUGAGGCAGCAGUAGGGAAUCUUCCACAAUGGGCGAAAGCCUGAUGGAGCAACGCCGCGUGGGUGAAGAAGGUCUUCGGAUCGUAAAACCCUGUUGUUAGAGAAGAAAGUGCGUGAGAGUAACUGUUCACGUUUCGACGGUAUCUAACCAGAAAGCCACGGCUAACUACGGGCCAGCAGCCGCGGUAAUACGUAGGUGGCAAGCGUUAACCGGAUUUAUUGGGCGUAAAGGGAACGCAGGCGGCCUUUUAAGUCUGAUGUGAAAGCCUUCGGCUUAACCGGAGUAGUGCAUUGGAAACUGGGAGACUUGAGUGCAGAAGAGGAGAGUGGAACUCCAUGUGUAGCGGUGAAAUGCGUAGAUAUAUGGAAGAACACCAGUGGCGAAAGCGGCUCUCUGGUCUGUAACUGACGCUGAGGUUCGAAAGCGUGGGUAGCAAACAGGAUUAGAUACCCUUGUAGUC
This 465-nucleotide ribosomal RNA is filed under the name uncultured bacterium. Its description in RNAcentral is "partial 16S ribosomal RNA". It matches the Rfam family "Bacterial small subunit ribosomal RNA", at positions 338 to 795 of the family's 1533-position model. The record is from RNAcentral.